GAGCUUACACAUGCAAGUCAACUUGAAUUUGGGUUUUUAACUUAGGUUUGGGUGGCGGACGGGUGAGUAACGCGUAAAGAACUUGCCUCACAGUCAGGGACAACAUUUGGAAACGAAUGCUAAUACCUAAUAUUAUGAUAAUAGGGCAUCCUAUAAUUAUGAAAGCUAUAAGCGCUGUGAGAGAGCUUUGCGUCCCAUUAGCUAGUUGGAGAGGUAACGGCUCACCAAGGCGAUGAUGGGUAGCCGGCCUGAGAGGGUGAUCGGCCACAAGGGGACUGAGACACGGCCCUUACUCCUACGGGAGGCAGCAGUGGGGAAUAUUGGACAAUGGACCAAGAGUCUGAUCCAGCAAUUCUGUGUGCACGAUGAAGUUUUUCGGAAUGUAAAGUGCUUUCAGUUGGGAAGAAAAAAAUGACGGUACCAACAGAAGAAGUGACGGCUAAAUACGUGCCAGCAGCCGCGGUAAUACGUAUGUCACGAGCGUUAUCCGGAUUUAUUGGGCGUAAAGCGCGUCUAGGUGGUUAUGUAAGUCUGAUGUGAAAAUGCAGGGCUCAACUCUGUAUUGCGUUGGAAACUGUAUAACUAGAGUACUGGAGAGGUAAGCGGAACUACAAGUGUAGAGGUGAAAUUCGUAGAUAUUUGUAGGAAUGCCGAUGGGGAAGCCAGCUUACUGGACAGAUACUGACGCUGAAGCGCGAAAGCGUGGGUAGCAAACAGGAUUAGAUACCCUGGUAGUCCACGCCGUAAACGAUGAUUACUAGGUGUUGGGGGUCGAACCUCAGCGCCCAAGCAAACGCGAUAAGUAAUCCGCCUGGGGAGUACGUACGCAAGUAUGAAACUCAAAGGAAUUGACGGGGACCCGCACAGCGGUGGAGCAUGUGGGUUUAAUUCGACGCAACGCGAGGGAACCUUACCAGCGUUUGACAUCUUAGGAAUGAGACAGAGAUGUUUCAG
This 954-nucleotide ribosomal RNA is filed under the name uncultured bacterium. RNAcentral's name for it is "bacterial SSU rRNA". It matches the Rfam family "Bacterial small subunit ribosomal RNA", at positions 44 to 1014 of the family's 1533-position model. The record is from RNAcentral.